Molecule: ribosomal RNA, 377 nt
Filed under: uncultured bacterium
Lineage: Bacteria
Description: bacterial SSU rRNA
Rfam family: Bacterial small subunit ribosomal RNA
Source: RNAcentral
UAACACGAAGGUGGCAAGCGUUGUUCGGAUUCACUGGGCAUAAAGGGCACGUAGGCGGAGAGGCAAGUCGGUGGUGAAAGCCCCCGGCUCAACCGGGGAACAGCCUCCGAUACUGUCCUUCUAGAGUGCAGGAGGGGAGAGUGGAACUCUUGGUGGAGCGGUGAAAUGCGUUGAUAUCAAGGGGAACGCCGGCGGCGAAAGCGGCUCUCUGGUCUGCUACUGACGCUGAUGUGCGAAAGCCAGGGGGGCAAACGGGAUUAGAUACCCCGGUAGUCCUGGCCGUAAACGAUGGGCACUAAGUAGAGGGGGUUCCGAUGCCUUCUCUGCCGGAGCUAAUGUAUUAAGUGCCCCGCCUGGGGAGUAUGGUCGCAAGGCUG